CUGACAGUAGCAGACUGGUGACCAGAGAUGAUAUUCUAACAGCGGACUGUCUGUUCCAUGAGAACCAGGGACUACUGGACUGUGCCCGCAAUAAAGAAGCAGUCCGUACGAUUUGGAGCCAUCUGAAGAUACAGCCAAUGUUGCAGCUGGAACCACUAAAAGGCAAAGGAAUACCCAAUCAAUUGGCAGAGGAUGGAUGCCCGAAAAAGGGAAGAUGGGGG
This is a long non-coding RNA of Salvelinus sp. IW2-2015, 221 nucleotides long. RefSeq lists it as uncharacterized. The record is from RefSeq and is a predicted model, not a curated record. Lineage: Eukaryota; Metazoa; Chordata; Actinopteri; Salmoniformes; Salmonidae.